This 385-nucleotide ribosomal RNA is filed under the name uncultured bacterium. Its description in RNAcentral is "bacterial SSU rRNA". It matches the Rfam family "Bacterial small subunit ribosomal RNA", at positions 370 to 772 of the family's 1533-position model. The record is from RNAcentral.
AAUGGGCGCAAGCCUGAUCCAGCAAUGCCGCGUGAGUGAUGAAGGCCUUAGGGUUGUAAAGCUCUUUCGCACGCGACGAUGAUGACGGUAGCGUGAGAAGAAGCCCCGGCUAACUUCGUGCCAGCAGCCGCGGUAAUACGAAGGGGGCUAGCGUUGUUCGGAAUUACUGGGCGUAAAGGGCGCGUAGGCGGCCCGAUCAGUCAGAAGUGAAAGCCCCGGGCUCAACCUGGGAACUGCUUUUGAUACUGUCGGGCUUGAGUUCCGGAGAGGAUGGUGGAAUUCCCAGUGUAGAGGUGAAAUUCGUAGAUAUUGGGAAGAACACCGGUGGCGAAGGCGGCCAUCUGGACGGACACUGACGCUGAGGCGCGAAAGCGUGGGGAGCAAA